AGACGAAGGUGGCUAGCGUUAUUCGGAUUUACUGGGCAUAAAGCGCGCGUAGGCGGCCUGGUCAGUCGGAGGUGAAAUCCCACAGCUUAACUGUGGAACUGCCCCCGAUACUGCCGGGCUUGAGUGCAGGAGGGGUGACCGGAACUCCAGGAGUAGCGGUGAAAUGCGUAGAUAUCUGGAGGAACACCGGAGGCGAAGGCGGGUCACUGGACUGCAACUGACGCUGAGGUGCGAAAGCUAGGGGAGCGAACAGGAUUAGAAACCCGAGUAGUCC
Molecule: ribosomal RNA, 274 nt
Filed under: uncultured bacterium
Lineage: Bacteria
Description: partial 16S ribosomal RNA
Rfam family: Bacterial small subunit ribosomal RNA
Source: RNAcentral